Molecule: long non-coding RNA, 250 nt
Filed under: Mustela putorius furo (domestic ferret)
Lineage: Eukaryota; Metazoa; Chordata; Mammalia; Carnivora; Mustelidae
Description: lncRNA (ENSMPUG00000024219.1)
Source: RNAcentral
CUCCAUUCUGUCUGCAACAGAAGACUGUUCCAGUGAUUUCCUUUUCUUACUGGAUUAUUCAGAACCAGUUUCUGGUUUUGCCACCAAGAACCAGGACUCAUAAACACUCCGUUGUUAGCAACAGCCAAGCAUCUGACAAGGUCAUGAUCUCCAGGGUUGUGAGAUGGAGCUCCAUGGCUGGCUCUGAGUUCAGUGGGGAGUCUUUUUGAGAUUGUUUCCCUCUGCCCCUCCCCUAACUUGCACACUCUCU